RNAcentral lists this ribosomal RNA (499 nucleotides) under uncultured bacterium. RNAcentral's name for it is "bacterial SSU rRNA". It matches the Rfam family "Bacterial small subunit ribosomal RNA", at positions 28 to 530 of the family's 1533-position model. The record is from RNAcentral.
GACGAACGCUGGCGGCGUGCCUAACACAUGCAAGUCGAGCGGGGUUGAGGCGAGAGGUAACUCGAGCUUCUACCUAGCGGCGGACGGGCGAGUAACGCGUGAGUAACCUGCCCUUCAGUGGGGAAUAACGGUUGGAAACGACCGCUAAUACCGCAUAACGUACAACGACGGCAUCGUCGAUGUACCAAAGGAGCAAUCCGCUGAAGGAUGGACUCGCGUCCGAUUAGCUAGUUGAUGAGGUAAUGGCUCACCAAGGCGACGAUCGGUAGCCGAACUGAGAGGUUGAUCGGCCGCAUUGGGACUGAGACACGGCCCAGACUCCUACGGGAGGCAGCAGUGGGGGAUAUUGCACAAUGGAGGAAACUCUGAUGCAGCAACGCCGCGUGAGGGAAGAAGGUCUUCGGAUUGUAAACCUUAGUAGUCAGGGAAGAAAGAAAUGACGGUACCUGAAGAGUAAGCUCCGGCUAACUACGUGCCAGCAGCCGCGGUAAGCUCGUCU